RNAcentral lists this long non-coding RNA (1073 nucleotides) under Marmota monax (woodchuck). The record is from RNAcentral. Lineage: Eukaryota; Metazoa; Chordata; Mammalia; Rodentia; Sciuridae.
CUUCCUUACAUCUCCACUCCUUCUUUUGUCCCCCAGUUCCAGUCUUGAUCACCUUCCAUUUGACUGGUGCUGCAGGACCUACCUGCCAACUUCUCUGUCACCAACAUGCCGUGUCUAAGUUUCCCUAGAUAACUCCCAGGUCAUGCCUUGCUUCUGUUCCUUAGCCUACGGUUGAUUACUUGUUGAUUAAUUAUCAAUUCAGCUUCAAAUUCUUCCACCAGUGGUCACGUUUUCCUGGAACCAACUCGUCUAUCCCAACUUAAUUUCCCACUCUCCCCUCCUGACUCUUCUUUAACUGGUAAAAUGGCACUCAUCCUUCAAGGCCUGGGAUCACGUACCACCGACACUCUGUCAAGUUCUUCUUCCCCACCCUCAGAGCAAUGGCUCCCUGUCACUUCUCCCCCAGACACUCACCUCUAGUACAAGACUGCUCAAGUUGCUGUGAGCUUAUUUGCUCACAGGCUCUUUCCUUGCCUGGAUUCUGAGUCUUUUGAACUCUGGAAAUGUAUUUUUCAUUUUGUAUUCUAACGUCCAGCAGGGCAUAGGUGCUCAGUAAAUGCCUUCAUCAGAUUAACCAAUAGACCCCAGCCCAGCACAGUUCUCCACAAGUGCUUAGUGAAGAAUCGCUGACAUCAAAGCAUCGCCCAGGGAUGCAGGCAGGCAUGUAAACAUCAAUUAUGACAAAAAGAGGCUCAUAGAACCUUGUUUUUUAAAGGGGAAACUUUCCAUUUUGGGAAAACAAAGCCAAUGAGCCUCAAAAGUCUAAGGGGUAUUUUGAACUUUGUCUUAAGACAAAUUGAAACAUCGUCUUAAGACAAACUAUCCUAGGGCACCAGAGGGAUAUCAGACUUUCUUUUUUGACACAUUAUUUUAAAGAAUUAGAAGGAAGGUAGUAUGAACUCACAAUUACUAAAAAUAUUUUGUUUUCAAGAGAAGCUCUCUUACUUUACAAUGUCUAAGGAAAGCAUAGCUGAUCUGGAAUUCAGAAACUUUAAGAAAAAUUAAAACAAUGUUAUUAGCAACAAGAGGCACUUGGGGUCUGGGAUAACCAGGAUGAAAAUGGAUGUGCUCUU